This 399-nucleotide ribosomal RNA is filed under the name uncultured bacterium. RNAcentral describes it as "partial 16S ribosomal RNA". It matches the Rfam family "Bacterial small subunit ribosomal RNA", at positions 362 to 773 of the family's 1533-position model. The record is from RNAcentral.
UAUUGCACAAUGGGCGAAAGCCUGAUGCAGCAACGCCGCGUGAGGGAUGAAGGCCUUCGGGUUGUAAACCUCCUUUAGUGAGGAAGAAGCGAAAGUGACGGUACUCACAGAAAAAGCACCGGCUAACUACGUGCCAGCAGCCGCGGUAAUACGUAGGGUGCAAGCGUUGUCCGGAAUUAUUGGGCGUAAAGAGCUCGUAGGCGGCUUGUCACGUCUGCUGUGAAAACACGAGGCUCAACCUCGUGCUUGCAGUGGGUACGGGCAGGCUAGAGUGCGGUAGGGGAGAUUGGAAUUCCUGGUGUAGCGGUGGAAUGCGCAGAUAUCAGGAGGAACACCAAUGGCGAAGGCAGAUCUCUGGGCCGCUACUGACGCUGAGGAGCGAAAGCAUGGGGAGCGAAC